GAGACCUUAUCCUUGAAGAAGACUGGGUCUCUCUACCUCUGAACAGUCCUUUAUUGUCUGUGACUCUUCAUCUAGGGGUGAGACCUUUUGAAAUUUCUCCCACUCAUGUUGGCAUGUAGACUAGUAUGGUCAUUAUGAAUGCCUUGUUUAGGCAACUAUAUUGUUGAGAUUUCAUGUAUGUAUUAUCCCCAUCAUAUCUAGAAGACACUGUCAUGAAGUGAAUAUUCUAGACUUCUGACAAUCAACAACCUUUGUGUUCCUUCUUCCAUGUUCCCUGAGCCUUAGUAUAGGUGUUGUGAUUUAGAUGUAUCAGUUGGGAUUGGGAUCCUUGCCAUUGUCUAUGGUGGAUCUCUGUAGUAGAAGAUGGCCACUUGAUAACAUCACCUUUAUAAGUUUUCUUUUCUUUUUUAAAACUUGAUUUGCUAGGAAUAAGACAGACUAUACAUAUAAUUUUGGAUAUUUCUUCUGAUUAUUUCUUUUGGAUAUGUGUGUGGAAAUACAGUUUGUUAGUCAUAAAAUAUGCAGAUUUCAUGUGAGAUUGUGUCUACUGGAAAUGACAGGGAAGCUUCAUUCAUGAUAAAUCAACAAUAAGGCUCUGUAAACAAGACUUGAAACAGUAAACCACCAAUAGACAGGACAAUACAGAAUGGUGUGAUUUCACCAGGCCUACCUCUAAGCAAAGAACUACAGGGAACAAGAAAAACUGGAAGGGGGAGAAGUAGUCUUCUCCUACAGAUAAUAUCGUUAAUUCUAUCCGAUGUCACAUGGUCAGUCCUGAUGUCAUAAACAUGUACAAGCAACAUUGAAUGGAUUAAGAGGGAUGCAUUUAUAUAUUUAUACACAUAUGGAAAAGGCAUUUAUAUAUUUAUACAUACAUGGAAAAGGCAUGAAUUAGAGAGGGGCAAGGCAGGGCAUUGAAAGGGUUGAGGAAUGAUAUGGAAGGGAGAAAUGAAGUAAUUUUGUUUUAAUUUAAAAACAUUUAAAUAUGUGCAUUUAGUAUUAGUUAGUUCUGACACUUAUACAAAAUACUUUUUCUAAUUUUCUGCUUCCACCAGAAAUAUAUGAAGUUUUUAUUCAUUCUACAAACUUCUAUGAAUUGGUAUUUUCAGCUCUUUUAAAAAUCCCAAUGCAGAGGAUGAAGAAAUGGACCAUAAAAUUAUCUUAUGAAGAUGAUAGAGACCAUUAAAGCAGAAACAAGAAAAUCCCUUAAAGAAAUAGAAGAAAAAAACAAGCAAAAAUUACAUGAAAUGGAGGAAACAACAAAACAAAAAAUUCAAGAAAAAAGCGAAUCUCUUAAAGAAUCUAAAGAAAGUCAAGAAAAAAAACAACCAAACAAGUAAAGGAAAAAAAUUAAACAGUUCAUGGCUUGAAAGAAGAAUUAGAAACAAUAAGGAAAACACAGAAUGAGGGGAUACUGGAAAUAGAAAAGCUGGGUAAAUGGUCAGGAACCACUGAUGUAAGUAUAACCAAUAUAAUCCAAGAGAUGGAAGAGAGAAUCUCAGGUGUUGAAGCCUCUCUAGAGGAUAUACUGUCAUCGACCAAAGAAAAUCUCAAGUCCAACAAAUCCCUAACACAAACUAUCCAGUAAAUAAGGGACACCAUGAAAACACCAAAUCUAAGAAUAAUAGGUAUAGAAAAAGGUGAAGAAAUUCAGCUCCAAGGUACAGAAAACAUAAUCAACAAAAUCAUAGAAAAAAAACUUCCCCAACCUAAGAAAGGAUAUGUCUAUGAAAGUAUAAGAAGCUUACAGAACACCAAAUAGAUUGUACCACAAAAGAAGUCCCCUUGCUGCAUAAUAAUUGAAACACCAAACUUACAGAAUAAAGAAAAAAAUAUUAAGAGCAGCAAAAGAAAAAGGCCAAGUAACGUAUAAAGGCAGACCUAUCUGAAUUAUACCCAACGUCUCAAUAGAAACUUUGAAAGACAGAAGGUCCUGGAUAGAUGUUCUACAAACUCUAAGGGAACAUGGAUACCAGCCCAGACAACUGUAUCCAGCAAAGCUUUCAAUCACUAUAUAUAGAGAAAACAAGAUAUUCCAUGACAAAACCAGAUUUAAGCAAUACAUAUCCACAAAUCCAGCCCUACAGAAAUUAUUGGAAGGAAAACUCAAACCCAAUGAAGAUAACUGUGCUUAAAAAACCAUGGGCUUGGGUACCAAGAUAUUUCAGUUGAGAACUACAGACCAAUAU
This 2189-nucleotide long non-coding RNA is filed under the name Cricetulus griseus (Chinese hamster). RNAcentral's name for it is "lncRNA (ENSCGRG00015041183.1)". The record is from RNAcentral. Lineage: Eukaryota; Metazoa; Chordata; Mammalia; Rodentia; Cricetidae.